RNAcentral lists this ribosomal RNA (254 nucleotides) under uncultured bacterium. Its description in RNAcentral is "partial 16S ribosomal RNA". It matches the Rfam family "Bacterial small subunit ribosomal RNA", at positions 524 to 776 of the family's 1533-position model. The record is from RNAcentral.
UACGUAGGGGGCAAGCGUUGUCCGGAUUUAUUGGGAGUAAAGAGCUCGUAGGUGGUUCGGUAAGUCGGAUGUGAAAUCUCCAGGCUCAACCUGGAGGGGUCAUUCGAUACUGCCGUGACUAGAGUUCGGUAGGGGAGUGUGGAAUUCCUGGUGGAGCGGUGAAAUGCGCAGAUAUCAGGAGGAACACCCGUAGCGAAGGCGGCACUCUGGGCCGAUACUGACACUGAGGAGCGAAAGCGUGGGGAGCGAACAGG